AGCAGCCGCGGUAAUUCCAGCUCCAAUAGCGUAUAUUAAAGUUGUUGCAGUUAAAAAGCUCGUAGUUGAAUUUCGGAAUUUGUCGGUUGGUCGGGCUUCACUGUCCGCACUGACCUGAUGAAUUCCUACCUUCUGAAUAACCUUCAUGCUAUUAAGUUAGUGCGUUGGGGAAGCAGAGCUAUUACCUUGAAAAAUUAGAGUGCUUAAAGCAGGCUUAUGCUUGAAUAGAUUAGCAUGGAAUAAUAAAAUAGGACGGCAUGGUUCUAUUUUGUUGGUUUCUAGGAUCACCGUAAUGAUUAAUAGGGAUAGUUGGGGGCAUUAGUAUUCAAUUGUCAGAGGUGAAAUUCUUGGAUUUAUUGAAGACUAACUUCUGCGAAAGCAUUUGCCAAGGAUGUUUUCAUUAAUCAAGAACGAAAGUUAGGGGAUCGAAGACGAUCAGAUACCGUCGCAGUCUUAACCAUAAACUAUGCCGACUAGGGAUCGGACGAUGUUAAUUUUAAUGACUCGUUC
Molecule: ribosomal RNA, 510 nt
Filed under: uncultured Glomeromycotina
Lineage: Eukaryota; Fungi; Glomeromycota
Description: SSU rRNA
Rfam family: Eukaryotic small subunit ribosomal RNA
Source: RNAcentral